Molecule: ribosomal RNA, 221 nt
Filed under: uncultured bacterium
Lineage: Bacteria
Description: partial 16S ribosomal RNA
Rfam family: Bacterial small subunit ribosomal RNA
Source: RNAcentral
GGUUUAAUUCGAUGAUACGCGAGGAACCUUACCCGGGCUUGAACUGCCAGUGACUCAUGCAGAGACGCAUGUUUCUUCGGACACUGGCGGAGGUGCUGCAUGGUUGUCGUCAGCUCGUGCCGUGAGGUGUCGGCUUAAGUGCCAUAACGAGCGCAACCCUUCUCCUGUUUGCCAUCGGGUAAUGCCGGGCACUCCAGGGACACUGCCAUCGUAAGAUGUGA